This 492-nucleotide ribosomal RNA is filed under the name uncultured bacterium. RNAcentral's name for it is "partial 16S ribosomal RNA". It matches the Rfam family "Bacterial small subunit ribosomal RNA", at positions 28 to 507 of the family's 1533-position model. The record is from RNAcentral.
GAUGAACGCUAGCUACAGGCUUAACACAUGCAAGUCGAGGGGAAACGACAUCGAAAGCUUGCUUUUGAUGGGCGUCGACCGGCGCACGGGUGAGUAACGCGUAUCCAACCUGCCCAUCACUUGGGAAUAACCUUGCGAAAGUAAGACUAAUACCCAAUGACAUCCCACGAGGACAUCUGAAUGGGAUUAAAGAUUUAUCGGUGAUGGAUGGGGAUGCGUCUGAUUAGCUUGUUGGCGGGGUAACGGCCCACCAAGGCAACGAUCAGUAGGGGUUCUGAGAGGAAGGUCCCCCACAUUGGAACUGAGACACGGUCCAAACUCCUACGGGAGGCAGCAGUGAGGAAUAUUGGUCAAUGGGCGAGAGCCUGAACCAGCCAAGUAGCGUGCAGGAUGACGGCCCUAUGGGUUGUAAACUGCUUUUAUAAGGGAAUAAAGUGGGUCUCGUGAGACUUUUUGCAUGUACCUUAUGAAUAAGGACCGGCUAAUUCCGUG